Long non-coding RNA from Terrapene triunguis (Three-toed box turtle), 884 nucleotides. RefSeq lists it as uncharacterized. The record is from RefSeq and is a predicted model, not a curated record. NCBI's taxonomy places the organism in Eukaryota, Metazoa, Chordata, Testudines, Emydidae. The transcript is spliced from 4 exons.
UUAAAUGGACCUUGUUGCACAGGAAAAAUCUGGACAAGUUGCUGCCUGUUUCUUCAACCUCCUCCUUCACAACAAGAUGCUGUUUCUCCAGCAAAGUACACUGCAAGGUACACACCAAGGACAUACCUCUUUCCCCCUCUGUGGAAAAGUUCUGUUUCAGUGCUGUUUCCUUGUUCACAGAUUUCUGCAUUGUUGAGAACGUUAUUCUGUAAAAACUGCACCAGACCAAACGACUCAAAGACAGAUUUUGGCAUCAUGCAUCCCAGCUUAACAUGUCUGCCAACGGGGUUAUAAUGUUCUGACUGUUUCUUGGACCACUGGCAAAUAUUUAUAUGGCACUAUAAUAUAUCAGACCUAUAUGGUGAUUGUAAAGAGGUGUCAAUAUUUGCAUAUUAAGCCACGAGGUGAUCGUUCACUUCCUGUCCCACCCCAUACCGGUAAAUGGAGAGGUCUACAAAAAUGGAGAAAUAAAACAACAAAAUUGAACCAGACACUUUAAAAACUUCAUACAGUGAUUGGUUGAGGUAGCAGAUCCAGAGGGGAGUUAAGGAUGACAUCAGUGCUACAUAAAGUGCCUGCUCUACAGCUCUAUCCCUCUCUCCAAAAACCCACGGAGCCUCAACCACAUCUAAUUUCUUGGUGGCGGAGGGUUAUGGAAUCAAGACAAGGGUGGAAGACCUGGGAGAUAUCUGCUAUGCACAGACAAUUACAAUGGGCUCAAAACCCCAGAACAUUUACCUUUUCCAACUGAAUGACUCUAUAAAAUGGACACCUGCCAUGUUCCUAGCAUGAAUCAUUGUACUUAGAGGCACACACAAGUGGAGAGCAGUCACGGCUAGUUGGCCGCUGAUGUAUCAGAUACAAUGUCUGUACAGGGUUCAGUG